UGAUAAAAGUUCCUUUUUCCAGCCUGAUCGUGUUAUGGAAUUUUGCAAUAACAAUGAUCUCCAGUUAAUUGUUCGAGCACAUGAGUGCGUGAUGGAUGGAUUUGAAAGAUUUGCGCAGGGGCACUUGAUCACACUCUUUUCAGCAACGAACUACUGUGGUACUGCAAAUAAUGCCGGUGCUAUCUUGGUCUUGGGUAGAGAUUUGGUGGUUGUACCUAAACUAAUUCAUCCUUGCCGCCUGCAAUUUCAUCUCCUGAAACUUCUCCCGAACGCCAGAUAGAAGACACAUGGAUGCAGGAGCUGAAUGCCAACAGACCACCGACACCAACCAGAGGCCGCCCUCAAGUUGCUAACGAUCGAGGUUCUCUCGCUUGGAUUUAGGUUCCACUUGCAGAAUG
Non-coding RNA from Salvia hispanica, 398 nucleotides. The record is from RefSeq and is a predicted model, not a curated record. NCBI's taxonomy places the organism in Eukaryota, Viridiplantae, Streptophyta, Magnoliopsida, Lamiales, Lamiaceae.